AUAUAUUUGUGAAACAUAAAUGUUCUCCUGUUACCGAUCAUCAGUUAUCCCAUUUGUGUUGAAUUUAGGAAACUUGACAUCGCUUGCAGCUGAAAGUUGAUCCCCUCUAACAAAUCAAAACGAAAUAGUCCAAUAAAACGAAAGCAGUCGAAGAAAAUCUAAAUACGAAAGCCUCCCCUUAUUCAUUCCGAAAAAGUUGACUUCAUGCACCUGGAUGCGAGGCGGAAAAGCGACUUGAAUUAGGGAAAAGAAUGAAAUGAUUCUAGUCAUAAAUUCAACUUUUAUAACGUUGGAGCGUAGUUACUGCGGUCUCCGGGAUCCAUUCCGAGACGGAUUACUGGUGGCCCGGAGACCUUUCCAAUUUCACCAGGACAGGUGGCCAAGAAAAGCUCAGCCAGGAGGGGUGGGAUUUGCUCACAGCUGCCCGAGCGCCUCCGAAGGAGACCUAACAACUCAAGAGCAACUGCUUCGCGAAUGACUCUACUACCGGAUCGGAAAACCGCUGAGAAGAUCCGGCGAGAAACUCAGCGGGCUGAUGCAUGGGUUAGGUAUAAUGUGUUCUGUGACAUGUUUUACCACGUUGAACGCCACAUGAAAAAUCGAGUAUUUUCAUUUAGACCACGGUAAUCACCGUUGAGCUUUGUGUUACUUCCUACAAGUCACAAAUUGCAGCUAUCCAACAAAAAGGGUAUGGAAGUGAGCCGCGUGGUCCUUUAGCCGAAACAAGCAGCCUGGUUUUCAAAUUCAAUAGAAGCUUGUGUUUUUUUUUAAAUAAGCCUUAAAAUACCUAAAAAACUAGAUAUAAGUCGCUAAUUUUUAUCUUCCGUGCAAAUUAUCGCUUUUUAUAAAUUUUAGAACGAAAAUCUCAAGUUGUUAAAAAUUACUGAUUCCCUGAUUUUGGCUUGGCCCGAAUGGUAUAAGUACGCUAGGCCCACCGGUGGGAAUUACUGAUUCCCUGAUUUUGGGUUGGCCCGAAUGGUAUAAUAUAAUGGUACGCUAAUGACCGGUGGGUCAAGAAGUGUUCAACGUGUUAAGAAUAUCUCAUAAAAAUAUUGUUUCACUAUUUCACUGAUAAAAGAUUUGUUUCAAUCUUAUAUCAUCGUAUCUGUCUCGAUAUGCAAUCUUAGAUUAUUGGAGUUCCUUGGACAUAUUGCUCGAAAGGAGAGUCACAAUCUUGAGCAGCUGAUGGUGACAGGGAAGAGGGAGGGCAAACGUCCUAGAGGACGGAGUCCCACGAGAUAGUCGGACGAUAUUCGGUCUUGUCUGGACAUCAAAUUCUACAAUGCCCUACACAAGGCCAAGGAUAACAGCAGAUGGAGAACAAGCGUACAAGAGAGAUUCAUGCAGCGGAAGAGUCACGACCUUCAGUAAUGAGGAGAGCGACCCAAGGAGGAGGGGAUCUAUCA
This is a long non-coding RNA of Bombyx mori (domestic silkworm), 1406 nucleotides long. RefSeq lists it as uncharacterized. The record is from RefSeq and is a predicted model, not a curated record. Lineage: Eukaryota; Metazoa; Arthropoda; Insecta; Lepidoptera; Bombycidae. The transcript is spliced from 3 exons.